Molecule: ribosomal RNA, 292 nt
Filed under: uncultured bacterium
Lineage: Bacteria
Description: partial 16S ribosomal RNA
Rfam family: Bacterial small subunit ribosomal RNA
Source: RNAcentral
GUGUCAGCAGCCGCGGUAAUACAGAGGUCUCGAGCGUUAGGCGGAAUCACUGGGCUUAAAGCGUGUGUAGGCGGGUCGUUAAGUGCCUUGUGAAAUCCCAUGGCUCAACCAUGGAACUGCUGGGCAUACUGGCGAUCUUGUGCAACCUAGGGGCGAGCGGAACAGAUGGUGGAGCGGUGAAAUGCGUAGAUAUCAUCUGGAACGCCAAUGGUGAAAACAGCUCGCUGGGGGUUUGCAGACGCUGAGACACGAAAGCCAGGGGAGCGAACGGGAUUAGAUACCCCUGUAGUCC